RNAcentral lists this ribosomal RNA (119 nucleotides) under Lepisosteus oculatus (spotted gar). Lineage: Eukaryota; Metazoa; Chordata; Actinopteri; Semionotiformes; Lepisosteidae. The record is from RNAcentral.
GCCAGCAGCCAUAUCACCCUGCAACUCACAGAUGGCAACCCACUAAAGCUAUGCAGGUGUGAGCCCGGUCAGUACCUGGAUGGGAGACGUCCUGGGAAAAACUAAGGUUGCUGCUAGAA